UACGUAGGGUGCGAGCGUUGUCCGGAAUUACUGGGCGUAAAGAGCUCGUAGGUGGUUUGUCGCGUCGUCUGUGAAAUUCCGGGGCUUAACCUCGGGCGUGCAGGCGAUACGGGCAAUACUUGAGUGCUGUAGGGGAGACUGGAAUUCCUGGUGUACCGGUGAAAUGCGCAGAUAUCAGGAGGAACACCGAUGGCGAAGGCAGGUCUCUGGGCAGUAACUGACGCUGAGGAGCGAAAGCAUGGGUAGCGAACAGGAUUAGAUA
This 262-nucleotide ribosomal RNA is filed under the name uncultured prokaryote. RNAcentral's name for it is "partial 16S ribosomal RNA". It matches the Rfam family "Bacterial small subunit ribosomal RNA", at positions 524 to 784 of the family's 1533-position model. The record is from RNAcentral.